This 590-nucleotide ribosomal RNA is filed under the name Yarrowia lipolytica. RNAcentral's name for it is "eukaryotic LSU rRNA". It matches the Rfam family "Eukaryotic large subunit ribosomal RNA", at positions 48 to 654 of the family's 3401-position model. RNAcentral also lists the same sequence under 1 other name. The record is from RNAcentral. Lineage: Eukaryota; Fungi; Ascomycota; Dipodascomycetes; Dipodascales.
UAGCGGAGGAAAAGAAACCAACAGGGAUUGCCUUAGUAGCGGCGAGUGAAGCGGCAAAAGCUCAAAUUUGAAAUCUGGCACUUUCAGUGUCCGAGUUGUAAUUUGAAGAAGGUAUCUUUGGGUCUGGCUCUUGUCUAUGUUUCUUGGAACAGAACGUCACAGAGGGUGAGAAUCCCGUGCGAUGAGAUGACCCAGACCUAUGUAAAGUUCCUUCGAAGAGUCGAGUUGUUUGGGAAUGCAGCUCUAAGUGGGUGGUAAAUUCCAUCUAAAGCUAAAUAUUGGCGAGAGACCGAUAGCGAACAAGUACAGUGAUGGAAAGAUGAAAAGAACUUUGAAAAGAGAGUGAAAAAGUACGUGAAAUUGUUGAAAGGGAAGGGCUUGAGAUCAGACUUGGUAUUUUGUAUGUUACUCUUUCGGGGGUGGCCUCUACAGUUUACCGGGCCAGCAUCAGUUUGGGCGGUAGGAGAAUUGCAAAGAAAUGUGGCACUGCUUCGGUAGUGUGUUAUAGUCUUUGUCGAUACUGCCAGCCUAGACUGAGGACUGCGGCUUCGGCCUAGGAUGUUGGCAUAAUGAUCUUAAGUCGCCCGUCU